Transfer RNA from Toxocara canis (dog roundworm), 72 nucleotides. It matches the Rfam family "tRNA". Rfam says of the family: Transfer RNA (tRNA) molecules are approximately 80 nucleotides in length. Their secondary structure includes four short double-helical elements and three loops (D, anti-codon, and T loops). NCBI's taxonomy places the organism in Eukaryota, Metazoa, Nematoda, Chromadorea, Rhabditida, Toxocaridae. The record is from Rfam.
GUGGCAAUAGCUCAGUGGUAAAGCCCCCGCUUCGCGUGAGGGGAGACCCGGGUUCGAUUCCCGGCUGCUUCA